GAUAUGGCUCAGGAUGAACGCUGGCGGCGUGCCUAACACAUGCAAGUCGAGCGAAGCGGUUUUAAGGAAGUUUUCGGAUGGAAUUAAAACUGACUGAGCGGCGGACGGGUGGGUAACGCGUGGGUAACCUGCCUCAUACAGGGGGAUAACAGUUAGAAAUGGCUGUUAAUACCGCAUAAGCACACAGCUUCGCAUGGAGCAGUGUGAAAAACUCCGGUGGUAUGAGAUGGACCCGCGU
RNAcentral lists this ribosomal RNA (238 nucleotides) under uncultured bacterium. RNAcentral's name for it is "partial 16S ribosomal RNA". It matches the Rfam family "Bacterial small subunit ribosomal RNA", at positions 15 to 236 of the family's 1533-position model. The record is from RNAcentral.